This is a long non-coding RNA of Drosophila biarmipes, 628 nucleotides long. RefSeq lists it as uncharacterized. The record is from RefSeq and is a predicted model, not a curated record. Lineage: Eukaryota; Metazoa; Arthropoda; Insecta; Diptera; Drosophilidae. The transcript has 2 exons.
GGCUCGCAGUGACAGGUCGAGUCGGCAAAAUACUUUUGUUUUUUUUUUUGCCGUAAACUGUAUCUCGCUGUCGACAUUAGCAGAGCGUAGAAGAGUGUCGAAAAAGCGGUCGUGCAACAAGGAAAUCAGAAUUUCGAAGAUUCCUGUGUCUUAUAACGUGCCUGCCCGCGGCUCGUAGAGAGACCACCUUCAAAAGAAACGAAAAGAAGAAGACCUGGGGCAGGCAGUUGAAAUUGUGAGCUGCGACCUAUUUUGAUUUAUUAAUAAAGGUUACAUAUUCGAAAAAAAAAAAUUAAUAAAGAGAGGUCUUUCAAAAUACCCUAGAAAAAUCCAGUUCCUUCACCCGAAGGUGACAUGAUGAAAUGUUUUGUGCAAACAAAAAUCCCGCAAAGGGUUUUACACAGUUCGAAAGGUAAAUAUACCAUUAUACAAGUGAAAGAUCAUUGGCCAGGGAUUCGGAGCACAUAGGCCGAUGUUCGGAGAAGGCGACGACGAACGUAAGAAACAAAAUAACAAAACCAAAACUAGGUUAACUUAAAAUAACUGUAAUUCAACAGGAAACGUUUAUAACAUACUCUAAUUAAAACGAAGUAAAAAGUAAAUAAAAAUAGAUGUAUUUUAAAUUCAA